This 240-nucleotide ribosomal RNA is filed under the name uncultured bacterium. Its description in RNAcentral is "partial 16S ribosomal RNA". It matches the Rfam family "Bacterial small subunit ribosomal RNA", at positions 524 to 764 of the family's 1533-position model. The record is from RNAcentral.
UACGAAGGGGGCUAGCGUUGCUCGGAAUCACUGGGCGUAAAGGGUGCGUAGGCGGGUCUUUAAGUCAGGGGUGAAAUCCUGGAGCUCAACUCCAGAACUGCCUUUGAUACUGAAGGAUCUUGAGUUCGGGAGAGGUGAGUGGAACUGCGAGUGUAGAGGUGAAAUUCGUAGAUAUUCGCAAGAACACCAGUGGCGAAGGCGGCUCACUGGCCCGAUACUGACGCUGAGCACGAAGCGUGG